Molecule: unclassified non-coding RNA, 170 nt
Filed under: uncultured Ascomycota
Lineage: Eukaryota; Fungi; Ascomycota
Also listed under: 1 other name
Description: sequence contains ITS1
Source: RNAcentral
CCGAGUUUACAAACUCCCAAACCCUUUGUGAACCUUACCUAUCGUUGCUUCGGCGGGAUCGCCCCGGGCCGGCCCUUCACGGGGCCUCCGGAACCAGGCGCCCGCCGGAGAACCCAAACUCUUUGUUUUUAUGGUUUUCUCCUCUGAGUGGAUUAUAAACAAAUAAAUCA